GCCAAGUGAUGAUAUUCCACGGAUCUGAUACGAUCCACUCAUUUGUUCUUUAUGAACACUUGAAAACCAGAGACUUAAUCAUGGUCUGAAUCUUAGUGGGUGUCCGUGAGGUGGACACACGCCGUAAAGGCAGACCUAGAGUGACACUUCUGUGCUGACUCUACCGGGCGGCCGACUUGAGAGUUCGUCUACUGCUUAUCCAGCCAGUUGACAGUCCUUAUUUCUCAGUCAACGUGAUGCACAUAAAUGAUCUUUAGUAAUCUGAUGGCA
Molecule: non-coding RNA, 270 nt
Organism: Nematostella vectensis (starlet sea anemone)
Lineage: Eukaryota; Metazoa; Cnidaria; Anthozoa; Actiniaria; Edwardsiidae
Source: Rfam